Gadus macrocephalus (Pacific cod) is the source of this 1511-nucleotide long non-coding RNA. RefSeq lists it as uncharacterized. The transcript is spliced from 4 exons. NCBI's taxonomy places the organism in Eukaryota, Metazoa, Chordata, Actinopteri, Gadiformes, Gadidae. The record is from RefSeq and is a predicted model, not a curated record.
AUCGCUGGACUUCAGGAUCUUCCUCCGUUCAGCUCAAGGUGAGGUGCUGGUUCUGUUUUUUCUUUGGUUGGUUCCGGCCGGAAUGUUCGGAUUCCAGUCGGACGGUUUGUGCUUCCUGCCGUGGAAGGUUCUGAGUGCGGUCACUUGAUUUAGUCCCAAUGGUUAGCAUAGAACAUUGUAGUCUUGACAACCAUAAGAAACCACCUGGCAGUUAGUUGGACGGGAGUCCCCUGAGGGAAUCUGGCGGAACGUUCUGGAUUGUAUUUGCGUAACCUCGAGCCGUUGCCAACAAACUAUUUUUCGGUUUCCAUUGGGAAUUGUUGCCCCCUAUCUUAAACAACUGAAGUUUGAUAUUAAAUACAUACUGACAUGCACGUCGUGCAAUAUGUUAAUUUCCGAUGGUUGCGCCGUACUUUUAACCACGAUGACGUUGCGGGACUCUCACUGCGUACAAAACGGCGUUCUACUUGCGGGCCCAUUUUUUACAUCAGGGAAGGCUGAAAAUCAUUUCAAGGUGGAAGAUAAUUUGACAUUUCUUCAACGGAACCCAGCACCUGAAUAUGGCUGAGUAUAUUUGAUUUAAUAUCGGUACUGCUUAGUGUUCUUUGUUACUUCAGCUUUUGUACGUUCUAAAUAUCUGCUGUCAUUAAUUGCCACAGAAGUUAAACCCUACCCAAUGGAAUGACGUUAAACAACGACUUUGGUGUAGAGUUACCGACUGGAUAAUAUCAAGGCUAAAAUAAUGGCCGUAAUUCACACAUGUUACAGUAGAAGAUACUCUAGAACUGUACAAGGUUAAAAAGGUAACAUGUAGUUUGUCCCAAGGUGUCUGCCUCCUCACCCAGAGCAAGACCUCCACUUCCUCACCCAGAGCCAGACCUCCACCUCCUGUCAGAAGUCCUCCAGAACAGCUGAAAGGCGAGGCUGAGAGGCUGGGGACCGGAAGCUUGUGGUGCCAGGGUGAACCGGAGACUGAGGCUGGAGACCAGGGGCCUGCAGCACCGGACCAGAGGGUAACCAUCACCAAGCUCAUCUGAAACACUAAAAUCCACAACCAGGAAUCCAUGGCUGAAGGAGCUGAUGGAGGAGCCGUGCUGAAGGAACUGAUGGAGGAGCCGAGCUGAUGGAGGAGUCGUGCUGAAGGCCCUGCCUUGUGGAGGAGCUGGUGGAGGCCCUGCCUGGUGAAGGACGUCUGUCGUGGGGUAGAUGGAACUUGACUCUGAAGUGAUCAUCACACUCACUGCCACUUCUCGUAGAAUACUGCUACCACAAACUACAGGCGUUUGUACCAUAUAUACCAGACGACUACAUCUGUUUUUACCACAUGUUGAAGCAAGAGUUCCGCUGUUUGUUCCAGACACGGACUCUGUCUGAGGAGAGCUGCUGGAGGAGCUGAGAUGCUGGAGGACGACUAGGAAUCGACCAACAAGGAUUCCUUAACGUGUUUCUGGAGCGGAGGCGAGCUGGUAGGGGAGCCAUGAAUCUGGAGGAUGACCAUCACUCUACCAUCA